AUGGCGGAGCCGGAGACGGAGACCACCAUCGUGGCCUCUUGUGUCUUCCAAUACAAAGUUGAUUACGAACAAAGCAAGCAGCUUCCCAUUGACAAGGCCAUCUAUUCCGACAUCGUCUCCGCCGGGGGACAUCUGUGGAGGAUUAGGUGCUACUCGCGCGGCGACACAGAGGACGACAAUGGCGAGUAUAUUUCUGUCUACCUCGAGCACAUGAGCAAAUCCACAAGCGUCGGGGCCAUCUUUGAUAUCUUCAUACUCGGCAGGGACGGCAAAUCACCUACGUGGGACACGUCCAAGAUAUCCAGGACACUCCAAACCUUUGAAAUCAAUGGAGAUAAAGACCAGCGCGACUGCUGGGGAUGGAGGUGGGAUCGGUUCAUCAAGGGAAGUAUUUUGGAGGAAGAUUACUUAAUAGGGGGAUACGUCACCUUUCUAUGUGCCAUCAUGGUCAUCGAUGACAGUCCUAUUCCCCUGCCACCUUCGGACAUUGGAACUCAUCUUGGCUGCCUGCUAGAUAACAAUGACGGGACAGAUGUGUCAUUCAUAGUCAAUGAUGAGACAUUCCAUGCUCACCGGGCAGUGCUUGCUGCCCGCUCACCGGUCUUUAGAGCAGAGCUCUUCGGUUCCAUGUCUGAGGCUACAAUACCAUGCAUCACGCUGCACGAGAUCACACCUGCAACAUUCAAAGUUAUGCUUCGGUUCAUUUACACGGAUGAAUGGCCUGGAGAAGACAGGCUUGAGGACUCCUCUGCUGAGAUGUUUCAGGAUCUACUCGCUGCGGCCGAUCGGUAUGCAUUGGAUCGACUGAAGGUUAUUUGUGCCCAGAAGUUAUGGGAGAAAGUGUCUGUAGAUACAGUUGCAACUACCUUAGGUUGGGCUGAAACCUACAACUGUCAGGAGUUGAAGAACAAGUGCAUUGACUUCUUUGUGGUAGAGGAAAAUUUCAGGACCAUGUUCACCGAUGGUUAUGCGCUACUGGUUCUGAAUUUCCCAUUAAUUACUGCCGAGCUCAAAAGGAGGGUUAGGGCAUAA
This 1032-nucleotide ribosomal RNA is filed under the name Triticum aestivum (bread wheat). RNAcentral's name for it is "partial small subunit ribosomal RNA". The record is from RNAcentral. Lineage: Eukaryota; Viridiplantae; Streptophyta; Magnoliopsida; Poales; Poaceae.